Molecule: signal recognition particle RNA, 101 nt
Filed under: Bacteroidales bacterium OttesenSCG-928-L19
Lineage: Bacteria; Pseudomonadati; Bacteroidota; Bacteroidia; Bacteroidales
Description: signal recognition particle sRNA small type
Rfam family: Bacteroidales small SRP
About the family: The non-coding component of the signal recognition particle in Bacteroides
Source: RNAcentral
GGGUAAGUCUUAUACGAUCUGCUCCCUUUCAACUCCCCCAGGACAGGAAUGUAGCAAGGGCACAUUGGUUGUAGCGAUGCGAUGUAAGUAGCUUACCCUUU